AGAGGGGGGCAAUCUACUUUGUACAUUUCUAUGACUGUAAUGAAAACUCUCGGGGGACGCGAGGGCGCUCACGAUUGGUCCUUUAUUUCGCGAAGUGAGCGACGCUGCAGUGGGUCGAUAUCAAUGUUGGUAUCGAUGUUUUGUGACGUAGUACAUCUUCACGGGGUCAAAGGAUCGAGUUGCAGCAACGAUCAGACGUGUCGUCUCCUGUCCGCAGCAGCCGUGAUUUCACGAGAUUUAUUGUACACAGUGUUACAAUAUUAUUGAACAUCGUAAGUAUUGUAAGAAAAAAAAGUGUAACGGUCAGACAUGUCGUGCCCUGUCCGGAGCAACGAGCAGUCGUGAUUUCACGAAAUUUAUUGUACACAGCAGUGUUACAAUAUCAUUAAACAUCGUAAAUAUUGUAUAUCCUUCAUUGUGUCGACAGCGAGGGACAUUAGACGACGCUACGAUCCACGAGGUAUCAACUGAAAGCUGCGAAAUUAUUGCCUAAUUUAGGAGAUGUCUGGCUAAAGAUCAAACAACACGAAGAAGAGGCCUAAUUUUUCAAACUGCUUGUUGCAUCGUGUCGUGCAUAACAGAGAAAUUUCGCGUUAUUUUAUCACGUUCGACAAGUAUCGCGAAUGCGAAUAUAUUAAAUUAUCAUGUGCGAAUUCGAGUCGUAUUCGCGAGUGUAAGUAUCAACAACGGAAGAUCAAAAGAUGUAGGUCGAAGGAGGACGACAUGGCGCACCGAGAAAAGACGGCAGUAUCUAUGGAUAGAGGACAAAUAUGAGGACGCAUCGAGAAAAGAAUCGGCGAAUGGUUUGCAAAACACAGUGCGAUUCACACGUCGGGAGUUCCGUAUAAAAUGUCGCACGUCGGGAGUGCCGUGUAAAAUUUUGCGUGUCGGGAGUGCCGAGUAAAGUGUCGGGCGAUUGUAAUAAUUUGUUUUUUUCGCGAGUGUAUGAGUGCUGCAAAGGACCAAGAGAGGAGGAAAAGGAGGAGUACGAGGCUCGGGGAGGCAUUGAGCAUCGGGUGACAGCGGGGCAACUGUAAGGUCAAUGUGCUACAACUCCGCUAUUGCAGGUAUUGCAAUUAUGGAAUACACUUUGAAUGUUCGAAAAACUGAGAGACAUCUUGCUCGUUGAAAGGAAACAUAAUAGAUAGAAUAGCUAGAUGAAAACACAUCAACGACGCAAGAUGCAUCGUUCUCCAGGGUGACGUUCCAGAAAUAGCUCAAGACAUUGCGGUGCAAUCGCGGCUGCUUUCGUUCAUCAGUUCAAGGUUAAAAGCCCGUCGCCAUCGCGUGGUAGCUGCAACUUCCAUGGGACCAAAAUACAUCCCCUCACUGAUAUAUAAAUACAACGUCCGAAAAAAAAGAUCGAAGAAAAGGAUGCUGACGAUGUAUGCCGAUAACCUUCCCUAAGACAUUGACGUCGCGAUAUAUAGGAAACAGAGUCGCGAAACUCGUAGAAUUUUCCACACUACAUCUCCUUACAUAUCAUCACGGAUCAGAUUUUCCUUGUAGCGUCCGUACAACGCAUUUAAACGUGCAUUUAAAUGCGCAUUCGCGAACGAUAAGAGUCAAGAAUCACGUAUCAUCUAAGGUGCGCAGCACAGAGAGAAGAUCUAUGAGACCUGAUAUACGUGUCCAGGUCUAAUCUGACUUUGAUUCGUUGAAAUCUGAGACUACUAACAUUUCUCCGAGCAAGUAUCGACGCGAGCUCAAUCGUCACGCAUGGACGUGUUGCGUGCUUGUAAAAACGAAUUAAACAUUCCAUGAUCGACGGACGCGAUGAGGUUAUCCGCAAUAGAUGCAUUGACCUUUACAAUGGAUACACCCCGGCGUGUCGAUGACACUGUGUUCUAUAAAGAUACCCUGAGGAGGUAUCGGCGCGAAGGUACGAUGCACCUACGUGCAGCCGGGUCAAGGUCGUACUCCUCGUGCGCCGGGCCGGCUGAGUCAUUCGUGCAGAAUCGUGCAUGCACAGAGUGCUAGGCGUAUGCGAGUGCAUCGAACCCGAGAUGACCGUUGCAGCUGCAAGCGCGAUGCUGGUAGCCUGCCUCGGUCGUUCCCGGUGCACGUCGGCCACCUUCGGUUGCAUUCCGCGUGCAUCAACCCGAGAGAUCAGCAUCGAGAAGCGCCGUCGAGUGCAAUGCCCAUAAUACCGUGUUCGCGCGAAACAGCUGCGCGAGACGGAGAGAAAGCUCAUCCCUCUCCUGGGAGAGGAUGCGAGGACUCUCAGAGGAGGCUCGUCGUCGAAAAGAAGAUGCGACCAGGGAGAGAAACCGCGGAGGAAGAAAUGCAGGAUUGCGCAUCCGAUUGGAAAGCUGAAGGGAUGCGCUUGAUGGGGACAGAAUUACUUGCAACUGAUGUACUUCUCCAUCGGAGAUGCAGCGAGGAAAAUUUCUACUUGCAACGUCUAUGCGCGGAUUAGUCUUUGGACGUGUUUCUCUUAGAUUUCAGAUGUCAGAAUUUCAAGUCUAAUUUUAUAGAUCUUUAAUUCAACUUCGAUAUUACUCAAAUUCAACGUAAGAAUAAAGAUUCAAUGAUGAGCAUUAAAUGUAAUUAAAUUUCUUAUAUAAUGACGUUUCUACGAGCUUACGGAUAAUCUUAAUCGCGAGCAACCGUGAGCGUCAGGUAUUGUUACGUUAAGACUAAAGUUCGUGACUGCGGUGACCUUACCUAGAGACCUCGGACACCAAGUUCAACAAUUUUGCUUAUGUUUGAGAGACGCUGCGAAGGGCCGAUGCACCAGCCAGGGUGAAUGUUCUCCACGCGCUAGCUCGCUCGUCGACUUUGUAGAGCGUGGCAACGCUCGCGCAUACACGCAUCCAGGCGCGUUGUGCGUACGUGCUUGCCAGCUUCCAGGGAUGGGCUAAUGCUCCUCUGAUCGAGACAUAUCUGUUACCAGUUUCCUACAUCCAACAGUUCAUCCGAACUGGUUUUCUUUUCACUUUAUAUACAUUUCGCGAGCGAUUCUUUUACUCUAUAUUCUCUGGCUCAAGGUCGUAAAAUACGAGAGUUUAGAAAAGAUAAUUAUUAUUUAAUGAAAUCGAUUCUCUGUGAUUCGGAGUUUCUUCAUUGGAAUUUAUACAUAUAUAAAACGAGAAAGGAUAGAAUUAUGUGUAAUAUCAUUAAUGUAUUGAAAUUUCUAAGAGCUUUUAUGCCUAUUUACCUGAAUUUCUUAUUUCUUAUUUUGUGUUAUUGCUUUAAAAAUGAUAAUUGUCUAUAUAACUGAUAAGAAGCGAACUUUCCUUUACAUAUCAUCUGCAUGUACUAGUUAUAUAAAUAAUUUAUACAGAAUUUACGUCAAGCUAUUGAUCAAAAGUACUAAUAGUAAAAAUUUUUGAUGUUCACAGGAUCACACACACACACAUGGAGGAAAUUGGUCAGAGGAUUAUAUAGAGAAAUUUAGGAGUGACAUUUAACCGAACAAUUUACCCGGCCCUGAAAGCAUUACGGCGAGUGAAACGUCCGAGAGUGGACGUUGCAUAUGUGCAAAACGGGCGCAGCGCGGGACGAGGAAAGAGAAAAAGUCCAUCAUGGGAAGAGGAGCAAGAGGGAGAGGAGAAGGAGGGCGACGUCGGGGGCGGAGGGAGAGUGCAUGGGACACCGUGUGCAGCACUCGUGCUGCACGCGUUUCGCAUGGCCACGGGGUUCACUGUCCCGAGCCAAGGCCGCAGGGGCACCGCCCCACUGAACCAAUUGUGCCACUUUUAUGCUCGUCGACUCAUUUUCGAGUUUUAUUACUUGCAAUACGUGUGCGCCCUCCUCCUCCUCCUCUUUCGAGCACGUGCAUUAACCGCAUUGAAACCAUACAUGGAAGUACGCAUACCUUCGAUGGAACAUCGUCAACGAUCGAAAAUGUGUCAUGGAUCUUCCAGUCGUAACGCCUGGCGCACACGGAUUUGCGAACCCCGGGAAAUGCGUUUGAGUUUGCGAACCCCCCCAGACUGGAGGGGAUUGACCCAGACACCCCCUCCAGCAGACGAUUCUCCCUCUACCGGGUAGCUGUGGCUGCUUCUAGAACCCUACGCUAUAGUCGAUGGAACGAGGGUGCAAAACCCCGUCUGCUUGAUAAACCGUUGCACCGCCCAAGCACGAUAAACGCGAUAUCGUUUAUCCAUUCGUGAAAAAAAAUUCAACCCGUACUGUACACUCGUGUAUUGCCCCUCGUAUGAAGCCGUAAUUUCUUUCAUAUUUUAUGAGAGCAAAAUUAAAUUGCAAAUCAUCAAAAUGAAAUUAGAUCUCGCAUCGUUAUUGUUUUUUCGAAUGAAAUUAAUACGCAGUUAUUUUAUUAUCUUGUUAGAAUGUUAGAAU
Molecule: long non-coding RNA, 4305 nt
Organism: Nylanderia fulva
Lineage: Eukaryota; Metazoa; Arthropoda; Insecta; Hymenoptera; Formicidae
Source: RefSeq, a predicted model, not a curated record